CGAAAGCCGACGGUUCUCCGCCCAGGUCUUUAAGGCCCUGCCUACCCCCGGGCCGGAUGCAACUCUGCCCAGCUCUGAGAAGAGGGCAGGAUGCAGGUUGUAAGCCUAGUGAUCCACAAGAGGCUGAUUUUUCACACAUUAACCUCACUGUCUUCACAUCAAUACCAAGAGGUGCCGUUUCAAACAAACAUUGUUGGGGAAGGCAGGAAGCGAGCGCAGGCCCCCCGGUGGCAGUCGCACGGUGGAUAAUACCCAGAUGACGAAAUCAGAGGCCUGGCCUUCAGGCUCAGAAGCACACCAAGUCUGCUCCGUUGGAGGCUGCCAGAGGAUACCCCUGACACAACAGAGUGAUCAGUUGUGGAAGGGCUGUGUUAUUUCUAACCCUCACACUAAUUUUGCAAGAUAGGCCUGCCCUCAGGACACCGAAGCUGCGCUGGUGGCCACCCGUCCCCCGACGACUUUUCUGCAAGUCUAGAGGGAAAUCGGCACCUCCCAGGAGGUUUGGGGCCCCUCUCUCCUCUCUAAGUGUCCCCAGGCCGUUCCCCAGCCCUUCGCUCUGACAGCGGGCCCGCAGCUGUCCAGAUACUGCCUCUGGAAUACGGGAGAAAGCGGGGACACUGAAUAAAAGGGAACCCCAGCCCCGCCUGGCCUAGUCCCCUCUGUCUCAUUCACCUCACAAGGCCGCCCCCACGGAGGACACCGAUUCUCCGGAGAGGAGGCAGCCCCAAACUGUCCCCGGAGCCCUGAACAACGAGGUUGGCACCGGCAGGUGUUGACUUGCUGAAGCUUUGCACAACAGCUACUGUCUGUAAGCGUGUGCUCGGCUGCCUGGAUGGCAGAAUAACCCUAGAACCCUACCCCGUGGUGGAAAGAGCAGCUGCUUUGUAAGGCACUGACUCGCACAGACCAACCGAUCGUGAGGCGGACAAGGGAGAUCACAGUGCUGUCUGCUCUGGGCUGGGCCUGGAGCGAUCUUCCAUCCCCGGGCCAAAAGGCCAUGGUCCCUAUUCUCUUAGCAGCACUGCCAAGAGAUGGCUGAGGGGAAUGGUUGAGGAGGCCUGUUCUGGAGCGCCACCACUUACCAGCUGUGUUACUUGAACUAAUGAACCUCCUAGAACCUCACUUUUACCCGAUAAAAUGAGGACCAUGAUGAUGUGAAAUGCAUAGACCCAUUGUAUUAAAACUAAUCAACAAAAA
RNAcentral lists this long non-coding RNA (1197 nucleotides) under Equus caballus (horse). RNAcentral describes it as "lncRNA (ENSECAG00000047289.1)". Lineage: Eukaryota; Metazoa; Chordata; Mammalia; Perissodactyla; Equidae. The record is from RNAcentral.